AAAAGAUAAAUGCUGAGAAGUGAGGGGUUGUUUGUUUGUUUUUGGCUUGUUUUUUGUUUCAUUGAAUUGUUUUAGGCCCAAGCAAUAUAAAAGGCAGAAAUAAAGGCAUAUUGGUCUCUGAUCAUUUGUCAAGAAAAGGUUAUAUUUUUCUAUGUGUUAACACACUCCUUAGCAAAUACUUAUAGUUUCUUCUGAACCUACAGAGAUAGUGGCAGCCCCAGAGCCAAGGGAGGCAUCUGCUAUGUUGUGGGUCACACAUUAUGUCCAGCUCUGCUUACUCUCAAAAUUUCCAUUAUUUCUCACAGUUUUCAAAUAAACAAACAGCCUUAAUCAGGACAAGAAACUUACUAAACUCACAUAAUAAAACUAUUUUACCCCUACUGGAACCCAAAUUUUAAGCCCAUAAAUAUUCUUCUUCACAUAGGUGGACAUAUUUUAUUGAAAAUUUUCUUAGUCCCUGCAAAUUGUAAAAAUUGGGAAUUCCACCCUGGUUUCCUUUUGAUUCAGUAUCCCAUGACCCCAGCCCCUUUAUUUGUAGGGAGAGACAGCAAACACAAGGAGAGAUAAUAAGACAGCUGGGUGGGACCCUGCCCUGAAAUUACCAUUUUGACCACACCUAUAGAUAAAUUUGCUCUGUCCCAGGCUAACCUUGAACUCACAAUCUGCCUGCAUUUGUAUCUGCCCGUCUUUGUAUCUUUCUGACAAGCUGGCUCAUAAGGCAGCUGCCUCUGUUCCUUUAGAUUUGUGAAGUUCCUUAUACAAUUCACGAUGCAACCUUAUAUAAUACAUAGUUGAGAAAUUAUAUAUUUUCAAACUCAGGUUUUCAGUGUUCUUUCCCGUAGCCUUAAGGUUGUCCUGAAGGUCACAGCACUCUGCUAUUUUGCUGAUACAUAGACAUGCUCUCACCUUCCCUGACUAUCAUGGAGCUUUAACCUUUGCAGAGAAGGCAUUCCUUGAAGGAGGAAUGUGAAAAUAUGUACACUGUCAUAUAAACAAGCCUUAUGUCCACAGCACCCAUCAACACUCAUGGCAGCAGCCCAUGCCAUAAUGUCUCUAUUCCAUGGGCAGGAAAUUAUGUCAUACUGUCUGCUACAUGGUCAUGCCAGGCUUUGCACUAGUUUUAUAAAUUUAGUGAUUGCACUGAUUGCCUUUUUGAUAUUUAAUUUUGAAUUCUUUAUAUAUUCUGGAUGUUAAUCUCCUGUCAGAUGAAUAGCCAGCAAAGAUUUUCAGUCUUUCUGUGGACUGCCUCUUCACAAAUAUCUCUGCUUACCCUAUUCGAGUCAUUGGAUACAAGGAAAAGCAGUGACGUUGACCAUUUAACCACAGGUAACAUUCAUGUGAAACAUCACAUUUUAGAAAACAAAAUAUAUUAAAUAUCAUGUUUUAUAAUGUACACACUAUGUGUUGUUUAACACAGAUUUCUAUGCACAUAAUACAUAGAAUUGCACACUUGUAUAUAGCCUCUUAUAUACAGGUGUUUUUGUGCUUGUUUUAUGAUCUAUAACAUUUAAAGAUGGUUUUGACUUUUGUUUCUAACAAGUGUUAAAGCCUGAAACCUUUCCUAGGCUUGUACUCUUAUCCUGGCAUUUUAUGAAAACAUUUACCUUCUGACCUCUACCCUCCCUAACCUGCUUUCUGCUUGGUGACCUUAAAAACAAACACAUAUGAAAUGAAUUAUAUUUAAGCUUUGGAGCAAUAUUUCUUUUUAGGAAGUCACAAAAAGAUGCAAUUCUAUUUUUCAAAAAAGUAAUUUCGUUUGAGAAAGCAGAACUGACAUGUAAGCAGUUGGUGGUUAGAGAAAGAAAACAUCAUUUGUUGUCAAGAUCCUCUCAUUCACAACAGGUGGGUUUGCAAAGACACGGUAGGACAGCUGCUGGAGUGGGAAAGCUUUCAUUUCCAUUUUUAAAAACCUUCAAGUAAUACAUGAUUCUUAAGGAUUCAUAGUUUCUUGAACAUGCAACAUGCCUUCCUCCAUGAGUGAUUGUUCCCCACUCCUUCCUCCAUGAUUGCUUCCAACAGAGUUUUCAGCCAGAACUGUGACCCUGGGAAUAAGGCAACACAGUGUGUACCCUAGCAAUGUAUCCCUCUGACAGUGCUUCCUGGAAUUGUGGUUUUAUUGACUUAAGACCUGUUUAUUCAACUUAAGGAGAGAAUGGAAACUUUGUAGACAUUGUUUGUUUGUUUGUUUGUUUGUUUUAAGACAGGGUUUUUCUGUGCAACUCCAAUGGUCCUGGAACUCACUCUGUAGACCAGCCUAGCUUCAAACUCAGAAAUCCAUCUGCCUCUGCCUCUGCCUCCUGAGUUCUGGGAAUAAAGGCGUGGGCCACCACUGCCCAGCUAACAUUCUUACAUCCAGGCUCCCAAGCACUUGAGUUAAAUUCAUCUCAGUUUUUCUGCCACUGAAAUGAGAUAUUUGUUUUUAUUUUUUAUGGAGAUUUUGCUUUUUGAAUUGUAGAAGUGGAGAAGUGUAGGAGAGCAGAGGUCAAUAGGUAACAAAUGAGCACGAACAAAUACAUUCUGCUUAUUCUUGGGAUUUAAUCCUAUCCCCUUAUUUCUUAGUUCUGUGACACUUUGGUAUGUUGCUUCACUGUAUUAUCUACCUAGCAGUGUCUUGAUUGGUGAUAUCACCAUGCCCUUAGAAUCAAGAUUGCAUACAGUAAUCCUUGGUUCAAAGUAGGUUGAUGCUGGGAUUUAUGGUUAUUGUUUUCAUUGUUACAUUCUCUUUAUCGGCAUCUGAAAAUAUCACCAGGAUAAGGAAGAAUGCCUGCAUGGACCUCAAUAACUUAUGGGGUAUUUUGUCAAGCAGUGUGUCUACUGCUUCUAUUUUGUUUUUGUUUAGUACACUGUGCAUUUCCUUUCCUCCAUCUCCCUCUCUUUUUCUUUUAGAUAGCAUCUUGCAAUGUAUCAUACUUGUCUGGCAUUCAUGACUUUCUUAAGUGCUAGUUUCACAGGUAUGCUUCACUGCGCCUGGCUUUCCUAUUCAUUGCCUAUUUAUGUGAUACAAUACCUCAGUAUUCUUGCUCUGUGUCUAUUGACAGCUUUUCUGGCCAUGCUUCAUUUUGCUGUCAUUGUUCUAGAUACUAGAAGAAGCCCUUACAACUACAAUUUAUCCUGAGCACUCUAAUUUGGAGCUUCAAUGGUUCUAUCAAUUAAUUGUGUUGGGUGUCUUUUCUCAUAGUGACCACAUUAAUUCUAUUUAUAUUUGAGCCCAUGAAAUUCUACGAAAGACAAUUGAGAUGAUAUAUUUUUCCACGCAAAAUAUUUGCACAGGUCCUCACAUUCCUGAGGGAAACAAUUCUUUGUUGUUUUUCUGUCUCUUCUAUGUUCAUCAAUAUUGGUCAUGCAAACCAAAUGCCGAUACCAAACACCUACUUCAGACCACACAGCUAGUGAGCAGGAGAACUCAUAGCCCAGAGUUCUCUGUGUCGCAGUGGAGUUUAGCAAGGAAGGUAGCUGCAUAGGUAAGUGGUCAGUCAACUGCUGCUCUGCCUGUGAGUCACGUUCAUCUCAGAGCCUUCUUUGCCCAUGAAGUCACACCACUCAUUCAUUUACAUAUUAUCUAUGGCUGUUUGAAUCCUAGAACAGGAGAAUUGACUAGUUGUGACAGACACCAUCUGGUUCACAAAGUCUAAAAUAUUUAUGAUCUUGCCCUUCACACUGAAAGCUUGCUGGCAUCUGGUGUAAAUCACACUGAGAUUUUACAAAGCAGAAGUGUUGAAUUCUAGGAAGGUCCUAGUGAGGACUUCUAUGGCCAGUCUCCUGCCCACUUUAAUGCAGGUGAAUAGAACACUGGCUUCACAAAUCCAAGAGUCCCUCAGGAAGGAAGACCGAAACACACUGUAGGGAGAGAAGACUUUAAUUACCUAGCUAUCUACUGUUAAAGCAGCUGGGCAGGAUGUAGAUGUUCUUAUUAGUCACUUUAAAAGAGUUACUGGUAGAGUUUAACAUGGAAGAUGGGGAAAGCUGGAGAGAGCAGAGCAAGUUGCAAGUUUUCUUUACCUGGUUAU
Molecule: long non-coding RNA, 4007 nt
Filed under: Mus musculus (house mouse)
Lineage: Eukaryota; Metazoa; Chordata; Mammalia; Rodentia; Muridae
Description: long non-coding RNA chr2:141402357-141406364
Source: RNAcentral